UACGUAGGGUGCGAGCGUUAAUCGGAAUUACUGGGCGUAAAGCGUGCGCAGGCGGUGAUGUAAGACAGGGGUGAAAUCCCCGGGCUUAACCUGGGAACUGCGCUUGUUACUGGCAGACUUGAGUGUGGCAGAGGGGGGUGGAAUUCCAGGUGUAGCAGUGAAAUGCGUAGAUAUCUGGAGGAACACCGAUGGCGAAGGCAGCCCCCUGGGCUAACACUGACGCUGAUGCACGAAAGCGUGGGGAGCAAACAGG
RNAcentral lists this ribosomal RNA (253 nucleotides) under uncultured bacterium. Its description in RNAcentral is "partial 16S ribosomal RNA". It matches the Rfam family "Bacterial small subunit ribosomal RNA", at positions 524 to 776 of the family's 1533-position model. The record is from RNAcentral.